RNAcentral lists this ribosomal RNA (1407 nucleotides) under Ophiostoma quercus. RNAcentral describes it as "partial large subunit ribosomal RNA". It matches the Rfam family "Eukaryotic large subunit ribosomal RNA", at positions 23 to 1460 of the family's 3401-position model. Lineage: Eukaryota; Fungi; Ascomycota; Sordariomycetes; Ophiostomatales; Ophiostomataceae. The record is from RNAcentral.
ACCCGCUGAACUUAAGCAUAUCAAUAAGCGGAGGAAAAGAAACCAACAGGGAUUGCCCCAGUAACGGCGAGUGAAGCGGCAACAGCUCAAAUUUGAAAUCUGGCCUUCGGGUCCGAGUUGUAAUUUGGAGAGGAUGCUUUUGGCGCGGCGCCGUCCGAGUUCCUUGGAACAGGACGCCAUAGAGGGUGAGAGCCCCGUACGGGCGGCCGCCUAGCCUUUGUAAAGCUCCUUCGACGAGUCGAGUAGUUUGGGAAUGCUGCUCAAAAUGGGAGGUAAAUUUCUUCUAAAGCUAAAUACCGGCCAGAGACCGAUAGCGCACAAGUAGAGUGAUCGAAAGAUGAAAAGCACUUUGAAAAGAGGGUUAAAAAGUACGUGAAAUUGUUGAAAGGGAAGCGCCUGUGACCAGACUUGCGACCCGUGGAUCAUCCGGUGUUCUUCACCGGUGCACUCCGCGGGCUGCAGGCCAGCAUCGGUUUUCCUAGGGGGUUAAAGGUCGCAGGAACGUAGCUCUUUCGGGAGUGUUAUAGCCUGUGGCGUCAUGCCUCUGGGGAGACCGAGGACCGCGCUUCGGCAAGGAUGCUGGCGUAAUGGUCACCGGCGACCCGUCUUGAAACACGGACCAAGGAGUCAAGCAUUGGGGCGAGUGUCUGGGUGCCAAACCCGCACGCGAAAUGAAAGUAAACGCAGGUGAGAGCUUCGGCGCAUCACCGACCGAUCCUGAUGUCUUCGGAUGGAUUUGAGUAAGAGCCUUACCGCUUGGACCCGAAAGAUGGUGAACUAUGCCUGUAUAGGGUGAAGCCAGAGGAAACUCUGGUGGAGGCUCGCAGCGGUUCUGACGUGCAAAUCGAUCGUCAAAUAUGGGCAUGGGGGCGAAAGACUAAUCGAACCAUCUAGUAGCUGGUUACCGCCGAAGUUUCCCUCAGGAUAGCAGUGUUGUGUUCAGUUUUAUGAGGUAAAGCGAAUGAUUAGGGACUCGGGGGCGCUAUAUAGCCUUCAUCCAUUCUCAAACUUUAAAUAUGUAAGAAGCCCUUGUUACUUAGCUGAACGUGGGCCUUCGAAUGCACCAACACUAGUGGGCCAUUUUUGGUAAGCAGAACUGGCGAUGCGGGAUGAACCGAACGCGGGGUUAAGGUGCCGGAGUGGACGCUCAUCAGACACCACAAAAGGCGUUAGUACAUCUUGACAGCAGGACGGUGGCCAUGGAAGUCGGAAUCCGCUAAGGACUGUGUAACAACUCACCUGCCGAAUGUACUAGCCCUGAAAAUGGAUGGCGCUCAAGCGUCCCACCCAUACCCCGCCCUCAGGGCAGAAACAAGGCCCUGAGGAGUAGGCGGCCGUGGAGGUCAGUGACGAAGCCCAGGGCGUGAGCCCGGGUCGAACGGCCUCUAGUGCAGAUCUUGGUGGUAG